UUAACCGAAUAGGGGAGCCGGAGGGAAACCGAGUCUUAAUUGGGCGUUAAGUUGCAGGGUAUAGACCCGAAACCCGGUGAUCUAGCCAUGGGCAGGUUGAAGGUUGGGUAACACUAACUGGAGGACCGAACCGACUAAUGUUGAAAAAUUAGCGGAUGACCUGUGGCUGGGGGUGAAAGGCCAAUCAAACCGGGAGAUAGCUGGUUCUCCCCGAAAGCUAUUUAGGUAGCGCCUCGUGAAUUCAUCUCCGGGGGUAGAGCACUGUUUCGGCUAGGGGGCCAUCCCGGCUUACCAACCCGAUGCAAACUGCGAAUACCGGAGAAUGUUAUCACGGGAGACACACGGCGGGUGCUAACGUCCGUCGUGAAGAGGGAAACAACCCAGACCGCCAGCUAAGGUCCCAAAGUCACAGUUAAGUGGGAAACGAUGUGGGAAGGCUCAGACAGCCAGGAUGUUGGCUUAGAAGCAGCCAUCAUUUAAAGAAAGCGUAAUAGCUCACUGGUCGAGUCGGCCUGCGCGGAAGAUGUAACGGGGCUAAACCAUGCACCGAAGCUGCGGCAGCGACGCUGAUGCGUUGUUGGGUAGGGGAGCGUUCUGUAAGCCUGUGAAGGUGGCCUGUGAGGGUUGCUGGAGGUAUCAGAAGUGCGAAUGCUGACAUAAGUAACGAUAAAGCGGGUGAAAAGCCCGCUCGCCGGAAGACCAAGGGUUCCUGUCCAACGUUAAUCGGGGCAGGGUGAGUCGACCCCUAAGGCGAGGCCGAAAGGCGUAGUCGAUGGGAAACGGGUUAAUAUUCCCGUACUUGGUGUUACUGCGAAGGGGGGACGGAGAAGGCUAUGUUGGCCGGGCGACGGUUGUCCCGGUUUAAGCGUGUAGGCUGGUUUUCCAGGCAAAUCCGGAAAAUCAAGGCUGAGGCGUGAUGACGAGGC
Molecule: ribosomal RNA, 926 nt
Filed under: Salmonella enterica subsp. enterica serovar Kentucky
Lineage: Bacteria; Pseudomonadati; Pseudomonadota; Gammaproteobacteria; Enterobacterales; Enterobacteriaceae
Description: bacterial LSU rRNA
Rfam family: Bacterial large subunit ribosomal RNA
Source: RNAcentral